AUAUUAUCCUUACUAAUAUUAUAAAUCGGAAAGUGAGUUUGUUUGUUUGUUUGUUUGUUUGUUCCGCUUUCACGCCGUAACUACUGAACCGAUUGCUUUGAAAUUUUGCAGACGUAAAGUUAGAAGUCCGGAUUAAAUAAUAGGGUACUUUUUAUCCCGAAAAAAAUAGAUAUUCCCGAGGGAAAACAAAAAUAUUGUUUGCUUGAUGGAUGGAUUGUAGAUGGCGCUGGGUGUUUUUAAAACGUGGUAACGAUGUGUUUUUAAAAUACGUAAGAAGUGGAAUGAUAGCUUUUUAAAACGUGGUGACGUUGUUUUUUUUAAGAUACGUAAGAAGUGCAAUGAUAUCUCGCGCUUUAACCUGUAGCUCAUUGUUCAAUCGCGAGCUUCCCGAUAGCUCGAUAGAUGGCGUUGUGCUUUUCUGUAUCGCGGUGUUAAGGUUCGCCGCGAAUUAGUCUUAAGGUGUUUUGAAAUCAGUGGGGCCCAGUAGGGCCAGGGCCAGCCGGGGCUGAGGGUUGUUCGAAAGAGAUACCGCGGCCCUGGUAUAUAAAAGGCCUAGGACGGAACACGACGAUUUUAGUCAGUAAGAGUCUGACACUCCCUCACCGCUGCUAACCCGCAGCGGGAGGGGUCAUUUGAUGAUUUUACGUCGCUAAAAAAAAAGAUGUUUUGAAAUAAAUAUUUUUUU
Molecule: long non-coding RNA, 685 nt
Organism: Helicoverpa armigera (cotton bollworm)
Lineage: Eukaryota; Metazoa; Arthropoda; Insecta; Lepidoptera; Noctuidae
Exons: 2
Source: RefSeq, a predicted model, not a curated record